CAUGGAGGGUGAGAAUCCCGUUCGGCUGACCUUGAAACGCUCUACGAUACGCUUUCAAAGAGUCGAGUUGUUUGGGAAUGCAGCUCAAAAUGGGAGGUAAAUUUCUCCUAUGGCUAAAUAUUGGCGAGAGACCGAUAGCGAACAAGUACCGUGAGGGAAAGAUGAAAAGAACUUUGAAAAGAGAGUAAAAUAGUACGUGAAAUUGUUGAAAGGGAAACGAUUGAAGUCAGUCGUACCGACGGAAAAUCAGCUCUUUAGUGCGGACUUGUGGGCUUACGUGAGUUUUAACACCUCGCUGUUUGCAACGUUCGUGCUUUUUGGGUGUACUUUUUCGUAUGGUAGGCCAAUGUCAGUUUCGAUCGCUAUAAAAUGACCGGCGGAAUGUAGCUUCGAUCUUGUAUUGAAGUGUUAUAGCCUCUGGUAGAUGUGAUGAUCGGGAUUGAGGAUUGCAACGGAUACCCUUCGGGGCUACCUGUCUGAUCUCUGAUUGUUGCUCUGGUGCUGAAAGCUUGCUUAUGGUUAUCAAAGUCGAUGGUCAAUAGGUUAGAAUGGGUUAAAUUCGUUAAGGAUGUUGACGUAAUGG
This 583-nucleotide ribosomal RNA is filed under the name uncultured Glomeromycotina. RNAcentral describes it as "LSU rRNA". It matches the Rfam family "Eukaryotic large subunit ribosomal RNA", at positions 204 to 637 of the family's 3401-position model. The record is from RNAcentral. Lineage: Eukaryota; Fungi; Glomeromycota.